CACGUAGGGUGCGAGCGUUGUCCGGAAUUAUUGGGCGUAAAGAGCUCGUAGGCGGUGUGUCGCGUCGGACCGUGAAACCUGUGGCUUAACCAUGGGCUUGCGGUCGAUACGGGCAUCACUGGAGUUCGGCAGGGGAGACUGGAAUUCCUGGUGUAGACGGUGAAAUGCGCAGAUAUCAGGAGGAACACCGGGUGGCGGAAGGCGGGUCUGCUGGGCCGAUACUGACGCUGAGGAGCGAAAGCGUGGGGAGCGAACAGG
RNAcentral lists this ribosomal RNA (258 nucleotides) under uncultured bacterium. RNAcentral describes it as "partial 16S ribosomal RNA". It matches the Rfam family "Bacterial small subunit ribosomal RNA", at positions 524 to 776 of the family's 1533-position model. The record is from RNAcentral.